Molecule: non-coding RNA, 30 nt
Filed under: Rattus norvegicus (Norway rat)
Lineage: Eukaryota; Metazoa; Chordata; Mammalia; Rodentia; Muridae
Source: RNAcentral
UAGCUUCUCUUUUGACAAUUUGCAAUGUGC